Molecule: small nucleolar RNA, 142 nt
Organism: Nannospalax galili (Upper Galilee mountains blind mole rat)
Lineage: Eukaryota; Metazoa; Chordata; Mammalia; Rodentia; Spalacidae
Source: Ensembl
GUCCAAGGUGAGUCCCUCUCCAAAGGGCCAACCAAAGCCCUUCUCAGGAGUGUAGCAACUUGGAAGAAAGCCUGGCAUGUGUAAGGUCUUUGGGGAACAAGGGAUGCAUACUUCCGUUGCUUCACUUUGGCUGCCUACAUGC